AGCAGUCGCCACGGGAAUACGAAGGGGGCUAGCGUUGCUCGGAAUUACUGGGCGUAAAGGGCGCGUAGGCGGCGCUCCAAGUUAGGCGUGAAAUUCCCGGGCUCAACCUGGGGACUGCGCUUAAGACUGGAGUGCUUGAGGAUGGAAGAGGGUUGUGGAAUUCCCAGUGUAGAGGUGAAAUUCGUAGAUAUUGGGAAGAACACCGGUGGCGAAGGCGGCAACCUGGUCCAUUACUGACGCUGAGGCGCGAUAGCGUGGGGAGCAAACAGGAUUAGAUACCCCGGUAGUCCCUGUCUCUUAUAC
This 303-nucleotide ribosomal RNA is filed under the name uncultured bacterium. RNAcentral describes it as "partial 16S ribosomal RNA". It matches the Rfam family "Bacterial small subunit ribosomal RNA", at positions 507 to 807 of the family's 1533-position model. The record is from RNAcentral.